This 490-nucleotide ribosomal RNA is filed under the name uncultured bacterium. RNAcentral's name for it is "partial 16S ribosomal RNA". It matches the Rfam family "Bacterial small subunit ribosomal RNA", at positions 28 to 507 of the family's 1533-position model. The record is from RNAcentral.
GAUGAACGCUAGCUACAGGCUUAACACAUGCAAGUCGCGGGGCAGCAUGGGGGUUGCUUGCAAUCCCCGAUGGCGACCGGCGCACGGGUGAGUAACGCGUAUCCAGCCUGCCCUUCACCACGGGAUAACCCGGCGAAAGUCGGACUAAUACCGUAUGUUGUCCAUUGACGGCAUCCGAUUUGGACGAAAGGCUUGGCGGUGAGGGAUGGGGAUGCGUCCGAUUAGCCAGACGGCGGGGUAACGGCCCACCGUGGCUACGAUCGGUAGGGGUUCUGAGAGGAAGGUCCCCCACACUGGAACUGAGACACGGUCCAGACUCCUACGGGAGGCAGCAGUGAGGAAUAUUGGUCAAUGGGCGUAAGCCUGAACCAGCCAAGUAGCGUGCAGGAUGACGGCCCUAUGGGUUGUAAACUGCUUUUAUGCGGGGAUAAAGUGGCCCACGUGUGGGCUUUUGCAGGUACCGCAUGAAUAAGGACCGGCUAAUUCCGUG